RNAcentral lists this ribosomal RNA (461 nucleotides) under Cladosporium oxysporum. Its description in RNAcentral is "eukaryotic LSU rRNA". The stretch from base 110 to 263 matches the Rfam family "5.8S ribosomal RNA". Lineage: Eukaryota; Fungi; Ascomycota; Dothideomycetes; Cladosporiales; Cladosporiaceae. The record is from RNAcentral.
CCGACUCUGUUGCCUCCGGGGCGACCCUGCCUUCGGGCGGGGGCUCCGGGUGGACACUUCAAACUCUUGCGUAACUUUGCAGUCUGAGUAAACUUAAUUAAUAAAUUAAAACUUUUAACAACGGAUCUCUUGGUUCUGGCAUCGAUGAAGAACGCAGCGAAAUGCGAUAAGUAAUGUGAAUUGCAGAAUUCAGUGAAUCAUCGAAUCUUUGAACGCACAUUGCGCCCCCUGGUAUUCCGGGGGGCAUGCCUGUUCGAGCGUCAUUUCACCACUCAAGCCUCGCUUGGUAUUGGGCAACGCGGUCCGCCGCGUGCCUCAAAUCGACCGGCUGGGUCUUCUGUCCCCUAAGCGUUGUGGAAACUAUUCGCUAAAGGGUGCUCGGGAGGCUACGCCGUAAAACAAACCCAUUUCUAAGGUUGACCUCGGAUCAGGUAGGGAUACCCGCUGAACUUAAGCAUAUC